AGCAAUAUGAUGAGUUUUUACUCUGAAUUUAAUGUGGAAGUCACAUUUAGCCUUCAAAGUUCUUUGAUUGCU
Small nucleolar RNA from Nymphaea colorata (pocket water lily), 72 nucleotides. RefSeq annotates it as small nucleolar RNA R160. The transcript has a single exon. The record is from RefSeq and is a predicted model, not a curated record. Lineage: Eukaryota; Viridiplantae; Streptophyta; Magnoliopsida; Nymphaeales; Nymphaeaceae.